UAUGGCUUAACCAUAGAACUGCUUGGGAAACUGAUAAUCUAGAGUGAGGGAGAGGCAGAUGGAAUUGGUGGUGUAGGGGUAAAAUCCGUAGAGAUCACCAGGAAUACCCAUUGCGAAGGCGAUCUGCUGGAACUCAACUGACGCUAAUGCGUGAAAGCGUGGGGAGCAAACAGGAUUAGAUACCCUGGUAGUCCACGCCCUAAACGAUGUAUACUAGUUGUUGCUAAGCUAGUCUUGGCAGUAAUGCACCUAACGGAUUAAGUAUACCGCCUGGGGAGUACGGUCGCAAGAUUAAAACUCAAAGGAAUAGACGGGGACCCGCACAAGCGGUGGAGCAUGUGGUUUAAUUCGAAGAUACGCGAAGAACCUUACCCGGACUUGAUAUCUAACAAAUCAUCUAGAGAUAGAAGAGUGUCUGCUUGCAGAAAUGUUAAGACAGGUGCUGCACGGCUGUCGUCAGCUCGUGUCGUGAGAUGUUGGGUUAAGUCCCGCAACGAGCGCAACCCACGUCAUUAGUUGCUAACAGCUCGGCUGAGCA
Molecule: ribosomal RNA, 538 nt
Filed under: uncultured Campylobacter sp.
Lineage: Bacteria; Pseudomonadati; Campylobacterota; Epsilonproteobacteria; Campylobacterales; Campylobacteraceae
Description: bacterial SSU rRNA
Rfam family: Bacterial small subunit ribosomal RNA
Source: RNAcentral